AGACCCGAAACCCGGUGAUCUAGCCAUGGGCAGGUUGAAGGUUGGGUAACACUAACUGGAGGACCGAACCGACUAAUGUUGAAAAAUUAGCGGAUGACCUGUGGCUGGGGGUGAAAGGCCAAUCAAACCGGGAGAUAGCUGGUUCUCCCCGAAAGCUAUUUAGGUAGCGCCUCGUGAAUUCAUCUCCGGGGGUAGAGCACUGUUUCGGCUAGGGGGCCAUCCCGGCUUACCAACCCGAUGCAAACUGCGAAUACCGGAGAAUGUUAUCACGGGAGACACACGGCGGGUGCUAACGUCCGUCGUGAAGAGGGAAACAACCCAGACCGCCAGCUAAGGUCCCAAAGUCAUGGUUAAGUGGGAAACGAUGUGGGAAGGCCCAGACAGCCAGGAUGUUGGCUUAGAAGCAGCCAUCAUUUAAAGAAAGCGUAAUAGCUCACUGGUCGAGUCGGCCUGCGCGGAAGAUGUAACGGGGCUAAACCAUGCACCGAAGCUGCGGCAGCGACGCUGAUGCGUUGUUGGGUAGGGGAGCGUUCUGUAAGCCUGCGAAGGUGGCCUGUGAGGGUUGCUGGAGGUAUCAGAAGUGCGAAUGCUGACAUAAGUAACGAUAAAGCGGGUGAAAAGCCCGCUCGCCGGAAGACCAAGGGUUCCUGUCCAACGUUAAUCGGGGCAGGGUGAGUCGACCCCUAAGGCGAGGCCGAAAGGCGUAGUCGAUGGGAAACGGGUUAAUAUUCCCGUACUUGGUGUUACUGCGAAGGGGGGACGGAGAAGGCUAUGUUGGCCGGGCGACGGUUGUCCCGGUUUAAGCGUGUAGGUGUGUGUUCCAGGUAAAUCCGGUUCACUUUAACACUGAGGCGUGACGACGAGGCACUACGGUGCUGAAGCAACAAAUGCCCUGCUUCCAGGAAAAGCCUCUAAGCAUCAGGUAACACGAAAUCGUACCCCAAACCGACACAGGUGGUCAGGUAGAGAAUACCAAGGCGCUUGAGAGAACUCGGGUGAAGGAACUAGGCAAAA
Molecule: ribosomal RNA, 1014 nt
Filed under: Salmonella enterica
Lineage: Bacteria; Pseudomonadati; Pseudomonadota; Gammaproteobacteria; Enterobacterales; Enterobacteriaceae
Also listed under: 1 other name
Description: partial 23S ribosomal RNA
Rfam family: Bacterial large subunit ribosomal RNA
Source: RNAcentral